AGAGUUUGAUCAUGGCUCAGAUUGAACGCUGGCGGCAGGCCUAACACAUGCAAGUCGAGCGGUAGCACAGAGAGCUUGCUCUCGGGUGACGAGCGGCGGACGGGUGAGUAAUGUCUGGGAAACUGCCUGAUGGAGGGGGAUAACUACUGGAAACGGUAGCUAAUACCGCAUAAUGUCGCAAGACCAAAGUGGGGGACCUUCGGGCCUCAUGCCAUCAGAUGUGCCCAGAUGGGAUUAGCUAGUAGGUGGGGUAACGGCUCACCUAGGCGGCGAUCCCUAGCUGGUCUGAGAGGAUGACCAGCCACACUGGAACUGAGACACGGUCCAGACUCCUACGGGAGGCAGCAGUGGGGAAUAUUGCACAAUGGGCGCAAGCCUGAUGCAGCCAUGCCGCGUGUAUGAAGAAGGCCUUCGGGUUGUAAAGUACUUUCAGCGGGGAGGAAGGCGAUAAGGUUAAUAACCUUGUCGAUUGACGUUACCCGCAGAAGAAGCACCGGCUAACUCCGUGCCAGCAGCCGCGGUAAUACGGAGGGUGCAAGCGUUAAUCGGAAUUACUGGGCGUAAAGCGCACGCAGGCGGUCUGUCAAGUCGGAUGUGAAAUCCCCGGGCUCAACCUGGGAACUGCAUUCGAAACUGGCAGGCUAGAGUCUUGUAGAGGGGGGUAGAAUUCCAGGUGUAGCGGUGAAAUGCGUAGAGAUCUGGAGGAAUACCGGUGGCGAAGGCGGCCCC
This 729-nucleotide ribosomal RNA is filed under the name uncultured bacterium. RNAcentral describes it as "bacterial SSU rRNA". It matches the Rfam family "Bacterial small subunit ribosomal RNA", at positions 8 to 728 of the family's 1533-position model. The record is from RNAcentral.